GCAGCCUGAUGCAGCGACGCCGCGUGAGGGAUGACGGCCUUCGGGUUGUAAACCUCUUUCAAUAGGGACGAAGCGCAAGUGACGGUACCUAUAGAAGAAGGACCGGCCAACUACGUGCCAGCAGCCGCGGUAAUACGUAGGGUCCGAGCGUUGUCCGGAAUUACUGGGCGUAAAGAGCUCGUAGGUGGUUUGUCGCGUUGUUCGUGAAAACUCACAGCUUAACUGUGGGCGUGCGGGCGAUACGGGCAGACUAGAGUACUGCAGGGGAGACUGGAAUUCCUGGUGUAGCGGUGGAAUGCGCAGAUAUCAGGAGGAACACCGGUGGCGAAGGCGGGUCUCUGGGCAGUAACUGACGCUGAGGAGCGAAAGCGUGGGGAGCGAACAGGAUUAGAUACCCUGGUAGUCCACGCCGUAAACGGUGGGUACUAGGUGUGGGUUUCCUUCCUUGGGAUCCGUGCCGUAGCUAACGCAUUAAGUACCCCGCCUGGGGAGUACGGCCGCAAGGCUAAAACUCAAAGAAAUUGACGGGGGCCCGCACAAGCGGCGGAGCACGUGGAUUAAUUCGAUGCAACGCGAAGAACCUUACCUGGCUUUGACAUGCACAGGACGCCAGUAGAGAUAUUGGUUCUCUUG
This 633-nucleotide ribosomal RNA is filed under the name Mycobacterium sp. So1Pt_25. RNAcentral describes it as "bacterial SSU rRNA". It matches the Rfam family "Bacterial small subunit ribosomal RNA", at positions 378 to 1020 of the family's 1533-position model. Lineage: Bacteria; Bacillati; Actinomycetota; Actinomycetes; Mycobacteriales; Mycobacteriaceae. The record is from RNAcentral.